Molecule: unclassified non-coding RNA, 312 nt
Filed under: Hevea brasiliensis (rubber tree)
Lineage: Eukaryota; Viridiplantae; Streptophyta; Magnoliopsida; Malpighiales; Euphorbiaceae
Source: RNAcentral
GAAGACACAACUUCUCUUAUCUGAAGUCGGUGAUUGUUGGUUUGCAUUCUCAUCUCAUUAAAAAAUGGUUGUUCUUGCUGCAUCCAUUGUUAGCAAGUCUGGGAAAGUUCUUGUUUCUAGACAGUUUGUUGAUAUGUCUAGAAUCAGAAUUGAGGGCCUUCUUGCUGCUUUCCCAAAGUUGGUUGGAACUGGAAAACAGCAUACAUAUGUGGAGACAGAAAAUGUUCGCUAUGUUUACCAGCCAAUAGAAGCUUUAUACUUGCUUCUUGUAACAAAUAAACAGAGCAACAUCCUUGAAGAUUUGGACACCUU